This is a long non-coding RNA of Anas platyrhynchos (mallard), 2964 nucleotides long. RefSeq lists it as uncharacterized. NCBI's taxonomy places the organism in Eukaryota, Metazoa, Chordata, Aves, Anseriformes, Anatidae. The record is from RefSeq and is a predicted model, not a curated record.
CUGUGUAUUCUAGGAAAAAAACACACUUCUAAAAUAUUCAUAUUUCCAUGGUUGUGUGUGUCUGUUGUGUAAGUUUUCCUUGGUGGCAGUGAACAAAGUGCUCUUCUGUGGAGCAGGCUCUCCUGUCUCCUCCAGCAGACUCAGUGUCUGUACAGGGAAUUCCUGUUCCUGGCCCAAACCCACAGGCCCUCGGCACUGGAGGACAAGGUCGGCCAUCUCACACUCUCUCUUUCUCUCGGUCUGAUAGCUGAUCUGCACUCUGGAGAAAUGGGCUCUGAAAGACAAAAAGAGGGGGGCUGAGGAGAAAGAAAGAGAGAGCACAUGUACUUCCAGCUCACCCUGUGAACCUCAGCAGCCAUUUCCUCCCUAAUACAGGAGCUGCAUUGCUGCCCACUGUUGCAGCCAUAGCUUGGAGAUUGGAUUUCAGAGGAUUCUGAGUGUUUUGGGAACAAUGUCCUGGAAUGGCCUUCCAGACAGGUGAUUUCAGCAAAACUGCCUCUGUUCAGUAUGACUUCUCCCAGCAGCCUGCUCUGAAGGUUCCGGGUGCUGGCUGGUCUUGGAGAUCCUGGUUCCCUGAGGAAAAGUGUGCAGGAGCUGGUGUCCUUGAUCUGUUGCUGCUCAAAUGUCUCCUUCCUCAGUAGCUUACUUAAGACUUUUCAAAUGGUCAGCAAAGUUCAUUGAGAGACUCAAAGUAUACAACCAACUUCCAGAGAAGAAAGGGAAAAAGCUGCCUGUUUAAGGAUACUCAGAUAAUACCAUUCCUGCCCCAUGAUGGCCUCUGAGCAAAUAAAAUAGAUCUUCUUCUCCAGUUUCAUGAUCUGCUUCCAGGGCUGAGUGGGGAGGAGGUGUAUACACAUUGGUAUAUACGUAUGCAUAUACAUGUUCUAUAUUGUCAGAGGGUUUUGUGGCUUCUGGGACAGGUCACAGCCCUUCAGACCCUCUGGAGCAGAGAGGGAGAGAAGCUCUGUGACUUGCAAAAGACCCAUGUAUGUAGCAUACAAUCCACAUAUUGGGUGUAUGUUAUGGCAAAGGUUAGUGCAUGAUCUGCCUGCUGGCUAUGAAAAUAUUUGGAAAAUUUCUCACACAUGGGAGCUUAGCCUGAUAGGUUGCAACAUAGUAUGAUCAGUUAGAGAUGCCUGGGCACUGGACAAUUUUCCUUGUUGUACUGAGGUGGAUACUAGUCCUGAGGUCUCAAAUCUUUUCCAUAAGGUGCUCUAUCAUUCAAACUCUGAUGAGUGUUCCAGUAAAAUUCACAGGCCUCACAGUCAUGGAGACCUGUUUUCUGUGGGUUUAUCUAUAAAAGGGAAUUCUUGUAUCCCAUGAUUUAUCUGUCUGUUAUACUGCUUAACUGUAGUUUUGUUGACUGUCCUUUUCAUCCUGAAAGAUUUAUGGUCUCAAAUAUGAGUCUCUCUUUUCUUAUUCUCUCUCUUGCUUAACAUACAAAGGCUGGAGCGGUGAAAGGGGAGGGAAGGAAGAAAGAAACUUAUAUGUAGACAAGGCAAAGAUUUGUGUAUGGUACAAUCAUUGUAGGUUUGCUGUACCCCAUAUCUGCUGGAAAUAAAACAAACGCUAAAUGGAUGCAUGCUAAAUUUGAAACGGGUCAGACUCCUUCUAAUUUACAAGAACUGUUCCGGAUGACAUGGUCUGUUCAGGCUGAGACCUUACUUUGGAUUGGAAGAACCAGAUAAGCACUCUUGCUCAUUCUUUAAGCAUUGUUAAUGUGUUGGUUUCAAAUCUUAGAAAGAAAGCUGAAAAUAUAUGUAAAAUAUCACUCAAAAUAUCUUAACAAGCCAAGUGAAGUGGAUCUAGCAGUGAUAUAGGUAAUCAUACAUAACAACUGAAAGAAUGCAAGGGAAAAAUAAAAGUAUACAUUUUCCUUGUCUUUUCAAGCCUUCUUUCAACAAUGUGUUUAAUGGUCUGCCUACAUUUAUGGACAUGAUUUAAGUGAAUGGGUUCUAAAUGAAAUAUCUGGCAACAAACAGCAGUAUGUUUUCAGAUAUAUGCUGACAGUUAUCUAAAAUUGUUGCUGUUAUUCAAGGCAAGGUAACUUGCUAUACAUCUUAAUCUGGUCUAUUUAUUCUUUAACAUGAUUUGAUUCUGCAAAACUCAUUGGGAUCCUCUAUUUGCUUUCCCAAAACAACAGUUCACAUACUCUCCAAGUUUUGCUCUUUUUCAAAUGAAGACGGGAAACUUGAAACAACUGCAAUUUCAUACAGUGUUAGUACAAAACUUUAUGGGACUGGGACUAAAUCUGCAUGUUUGCAGUCAAUUGUGGCCACAUCAGGGCCAUUAUCAGCUGUUACUGAAAACACUAAAUUAAAGUUUCACGCUCUUAGUGCAGCUGAUGUGUUUACUAGGUCAUAUUAUCUCCUCUGCAUGAAUCCCAAUAUUGGGGGUGCUGUUAUCUGGUCACAAAGGAGGAAAAGCACGAGAACAAGAACUGACUCAUUCCCCUCUACCCCACCCUCACCCCAGUUCUCCCCCUCUAUUCAUUACUGAGCUUCUUUUAGACAGGGAUUGAAAGCCAACUUUAGUUCUCAGUUACACUGGUGUGUAUCUGAAUAAACCCACAGCCAUCAUGGGAGAAAUUCUGGUUUUAUACUGUUAUAGGAGACAGCAAGUUUUGGCAACGACCUUUAUAUAGCAAUGUCCUGGAGUGUAAACAGCUUGCUUUUAUGCAAACAAAUUACAAAAUUGUGUAUAGAGUAAGAGAAUCCCUGCUUUUAAGCUGUCUUGCCCAGGAAAAUGAAUUAAGUCGUCCAGCUUGGAUAUGUGUAAUCCUCUUGAAUUCUUUGAAUUUAUAACUUUCUAUUGCUGUGUAAACUUGAGUUUCCUUGUGGAGAUGCCGUUCUCUCUAAUUGUUUGCUUCUUGAGGAUAUAAUUUUAAAAGAUCAUACUGUAUCUAGUCAUCUGAACCAUCUGAUGCAAUUUAAAAAAAAAUAAAAAAUCACUAAAUAUAGUUAA